GAAAUUCCAAUCGAACUCGGAGAUAGCUGGUUCUCCCCGAAAUAGCUUUAGGGCUAGCGUUAUGUUAGAUUACCGGAGGUAAAGCACUGAAUGGUAGCGGGGCCGAUAAGGUUACCAACGCCUAUCAAACUAAGAAUGCCGGCUAAUUGAUGCAUAGCAGUCAGACAGUGUGAGAUAAGUUUCAUUGUCAAAAGGGAAACAGCCCAGACCUACAGCUAAGGUCCCAAAUGUAUGCUAAGUGGAAAACGAUGUGGAGUUGCGAAAACAACCAGGAUGUUGGCUUAGAAGCAGCCACUCAUUAAAAGAGUGCGUAAUAGCUCACUGGUCGAGUGACUCUGCGCGGAAAAUAUAACGGGGCUAAGCGUAACACCGAAGCUUGGGCUGCACAGCAAUGUGCGGGGUAGGGGAGCGUCGAAUAUGGGGUGAAGUCGCAGCGGAAGCAGCGGUGGACUGUAUUCGAGUGAGAAUGCCGGAAUGAGUAGCGAGAAUUAUGUGGGAAUCAUAAUGGCCGAAAAUCUAAGGUUUCUUGGGGAAGGUUCGUCCGCCCAAGGUAAGCCGGGAGCUAAGGCGAGGCCGAAAGGCGUAGUCGAUGCACAUACGGUAGAAAUUCCGUAGCCACCGAACUUUAAGUCAGAGGGACACUUUUGGAUAGCGGAACCCGGGCGUUGGUUGACCCGGGCGAAAGGGAGCGAAAAUAUAGUAGCGAAGUCCGCGAUGCUGAGAGGCGAGAAAAGCUCUGAUGGAUACUAAGGUGCCCGUACCGCAAACCGACACAGGUAGAUGAGGAGAGAAUCCUAAGGCCAACGGGAGAAGGGUUGUUAAGGAACUCGGCAAGUUGACCCCGUAACUUCGGGAGAAGGGGUGCUCAUGAAAGUGAGCCGCAGAGAAUAGGCCCAAGCAACUGUUUAGCAAAAACACAGGUCUGUGCUAAAUCGAAAGAUGACGUAUACGGGCUGACACCUGCCCGGUGCUGGAAGGUUAAGGGGAUGUGUGCAAGCACUGAACCGAAGCCCCAGUAAACGGCGGCCGUAACUAUAACGGUCCUAAGGUAGCGAAAUUCCUUGUCAGGUAAGUUCUGACCCGCACGAAUGGCGUAACGACUUGGGCGCUGUCUCAACAGCCCACCCGGCGAAAUUGUUGUACUGGUGAAGAAGCCAGUUACCCGCAACUAGACGGAAAGACCCCAUGGAGCUUUACUGCAGCUUAAUACUGGAAAUCGGUAAAUCAUGUACAGGAUAGGUGGGAGACUUGGAAGCCAGGGCGUCAGCUUUGGUGGAGUCACCCUUGGGAUACCACCCUUGAUUUGCUGGUUUUCUAACCUGCGGCCGUGAAUCCGGUCGGGGGACACUGUUAGGCGGGCAGUUUGACUGGGGCGGUCGCCUCCUAAAGAGUAACGGAGGCGCUCAAAGGUUGGCUCAGCACGGACGGAAAUCGUGCAGUGAGUGUAAACGUAGAAGCCAGCCUAACUGCGAGACCGACGGGUCGAGCAGUAACGAAAGUUGGAGUUAGUGAUCCGGCGGUAUGUGAGUGGAAAUGCCGUCGCUCAACGGAUAAAAGCUACCCUGGGGAUAACAGGCUGAUCUCCCCCAAGCGUCCACAGCGACGGGGAGGUUUGGCACCUCGAUGUCGGCUCGUCACAUCCUGGGGCUGUAUUCGGUCCCAAGGGUUCGGCUGUUCGCCGAUUAAAGUGGCACGCGAGCUGGGUUCAGAACGUCGUGAGACAGUUCGGUCCCUAUCUGUUGCGGGCGUAAGAGAUUUGAAGGGAGCUGUCCUUAGUACGAGAGGACCGGGAUGGACGUACCUCUGGUGCACCAGUUGUCCUGCCAAGGGCAUAGCUGGGUAGCUA
Molecule: ribosomal RNA, 1846 nt
Filed under: human metagenome
Description: bacterial LSU rRNA
Rfam family: Bacterial large subunit ribosomal RNA
Source: RNAcentral